UCCUGUGUCAUUAAUGUCUAUAAAAAUGUCAAAGAAUAGUGUAAAAUGCCAGUUUACUAUCGUACAGGAAUAAUAUAACCCACAAUUAUUUCCAUUUGUGAAGCGAGGGCCAGUGAAUCUUUUGGAAAUGUUGCUUUAAUAAUAACCAUUAUUAAAUGUCCAUCACAGUUUCCCACAAAGCCCCAUGUGACGUCCAAAAUCCAAAGAUAUUCAGUUCAUGAUGAUAUUAAGCAGAAAAUCCUCACAAUUGAAAAUCUGAAUCUGGGUCAUGUUUGGUAAACUAAUCGAUUAUCAAAAGAGUCGCUGUUUAACUUUCGAUCUACUUAUCCUUCUUAUACGGCAGCUUUCUUAUUCCUGCUUUACUCUUUGUUUACCCAUCACGUUUUAGCUGGAGCUUAAGCUUACGUUUGAACUUUUACUCUACUAGUGUUUUUGGUUUCCCUCUCCUCUCUCUCUCCUCAUCUCUACUCCUCUCCUCUCUCUCUCCUCAUCUCUCCUCCUCUCCUCUCUCUCUCCUCUCUCUCUCUCUCUCCUCUCUCCUCUCUCUCUCUUCUCUCUCCUCCUCUCCUCUCUCUCUCCUCCUCCUCUCUCUCUCCUCUCUUCUCUCUCCUCAUCUCUCCUCCUCUCCUCAUCUCUCCUCCUCUCCUCUCUUCUCUCUCCUCUCUUCUCUAUCCUCCUCUCCUCUCUUCUCUCUUCUCUCUCCUCCUCUCCUCUCUCCCUCCUCCUCUCCUCCUCUCUCUCUCCUCUCUUCUCUCUCCUCCUCUCCUCUCUCUCUCCUCCUCUCCUCUCUCCCUCCUCCUCUCAUCUCUCUCUCUCCUCCACCUCCUCUCUCUCCUCUCUUCUCUCUCCUCCUCUCCUCUUCUCUCUCCUCUCCUCUCUCUCUCUCUCCUCCUCUCCUCUCUCCCUCCUCCUCUCUCCUCUCUCUCCUCCUCUCCUCUCUCCCUCUUCCUCUCCUCUCUCCUCCUCUCAUCUCUUUCCCCCUCCCCUCUCUCCCUCCUCCUCUCAUCUCUCUCUCUCCUCCACCUCUCUCUCUCCUCUCUUCUCUCUCCUCCUCUCCUCUUCUCUCUCCUCUCCUCUCUCUCUCUCCUCCUCUCCUCUCUCCCUCCUCCUCUCUCCUCUCUCUCCUCCUCUCCUCUCUCCCUCUUCCUCUCCUCUCUCCUCCUCUCAUCUCUUUCCCCCUCCCCUUUCCCCCUCCCCUCUCCUCUCUCCUCCUCCUCUCUCUCUCUCCUCUCUUCUCUCUCCUCUCUCUCUCCUCCUCUCCUCUCCUCCUCUCUCCUCUC
Molecule: long non-coding RNA, 1280 nt
Filed under: Cottoperca gobio
Lineage: Eukaryota; Metazoa; Chordata; Actinopteri; Perciformes; Bovichtidae
Description: lncRNA (ENSCGOG00000008062.1)
Source: RNAcentral